GAGAAGAAGAGAGAGGGGAUGGGUCAUAUAGACCCUCUAUUGUAACAAAAUUCCAAGAGGCCCCUCAAAAAUCCAAAAUUGCAUCAGCCCGAACUGGGCAGUUUUCGCCCAGAGGGACCGGUCUCUCCCCAACAGGGACCAGUCUCUCGCUGCGAACCAGGAAAAACCAUCGUUCGGGGACCGGUCUCUCCCUGUGCGGGACCGGUCUCUCUCUGCGAAGGCGCGCUCGGGGACCGGUCUUGCCCGCAAGGGACCGGUUGCCUCAGGGCUGCCGCAACACUGUUCACUGGGGGACCGGUCUCUCCUUCCAGGGACCGGUCCCCGAGAGUAAAAAUCUCUCAGGACUUG
This 348-nucleotide long non-coding RNA is filed under the name Ananas comosus (pineapple). Its description in RNAcentral is "long non-coding RNA (ACOM_LNC023241)". The record is from RNAcentral. Lineage: Eukaryota; Viridiplantae; Streptophyta; Magnoliopsida; Poales; Bromeliaceae.